RNAcentral lists this ribosomal RNA (1032 nucleotides) under uncultured Cafeteriaceae. Its description in RNAcentral is "SSU rRNA". It matches the Rfam family "Eukaryotic small subunit ribosomal RNA", at positions 35 to 1146 of the family's 1831-position model. The record is from RNAcentral. Lineage: Eukaryota; Bigyra; Bicosoecida; Cafeteriaceae.
UCUCAAAGAUUAAGCCAUGCAUGUCUAAGUAUAAGCGAAAGCGAAACUGCGAAAUGGCUCAUUAUAUCAGUUAUAGUUUAUUUGAUAGUUUUCCUAUAUGGAUAACCGUAGUAAUUCUAGAGCUAAUACAUGCACGAAGUCCGGAUCCCUCGGGAGAAGGAUGCGUUUAUUAGAUACAACCUUCAACACAGGUGAAUCAUAAUAACCGAGCGAACCUCGAUAGAGGUGGUUCAUUCAAGUUUCUGCCCUAUCAGCUUUCGAUGGUAGGGUAUUGGCCUACCAUGGCGUUAACGGGUAACGGAGAAUUAGGGUUCGAUUCCGGAGAGGGAGCCUGAGAAACGGCUACCACAUCCAAGGAAGGCAGCAGGCGCGUAAAUUACCCAAUCCUAAAGCAGGGAGGUAGUGACAAGAAAUACCGACGGGUGACUUAAUGUCGCCCAUUGGAAUGAGGACAAUUUAAAACCCUUACCGAGGAUCAAUUGGAGGGCAAGUCUGGUGCCCAGCAGCCCGCGGUAAUUCCAGCCUCCAAUAGCGUAUAUUAAAGUUGUUGCAGUUAAAAAGCUCGUAGUUGAAUUUCUGAGCUCGCCGAGCGGCGGUCUUUGGCCGACCACUCCCGCAAGUUCAUCCUCGCCCCUCGGGGCGUCAUUUACUGUGAAAAAAUUAGAGUGUUUAAAGCAGGCUUUAGGCUUGAACACAUUAGCAUGGAAUAAUGAGAUAGACCAAGUCGUAUUUUGUUGGUUGCGCGAUUCGGUAAUGAUUAAUAGGGACAGUUGGGGGUAUUCAUAUUUAAUUGUCAGAGGUGAAAUUCUUAGAUUUAUUAAAGAUGAACUACUGCGAAAGCAUUUACCAAGGGUGUUUUCAUUAAUCAAGAACGAAAGUCAGGGGAUCGAAGAGGAUUAGAUACCCUCGUAGUCUUGACCAUAAACUAUGCCGACUCAGGAUUGGCACCCUUUUUUAACAGGGUGUCAGCACUGUAUGAAAAAUCAAAGUCUUUGGGUUCCGGGGGGAGUAUGGUCGCAAGGCUGAAACUAA